This 1613-nucleotide ribosomal RNA is filed under the name Brugia malayi. Its description in RNAcentral is "rRNA Bm15515". It matches the Rfam family "Eukaryotic small subunit ribosomal RNA". Lineage: Eukaryota; Metazoa; Nematoda; Chromadorea; Rhabditida; Onchocercidae. The record is from RNAcentral.
UAGAUGAAUGAAUGAAUGAAUAACACACUGAUAUAUCUGAGAUAAUGGAAAAACUUUAAUAAAGAGUUUACUUAUUACUUUAUAUCAUGCUCAUUAUACUAAUUAUAAUUGUUGAUUAUCCAACGUGGAUAACUGUGGAAAUUCUAAAGCUAAUACAUGCGCCAAGGCUCCGAAUUUUAGACGUGCGCAUCUAUUAGAUUAAAACACCAAUCAGGUUAUUAAUUAAUCCGUUAAUUGAUGACUGUGAAUAGUUAUGGCUGAUCGCAUGGUCUUAUACUGGCGGCGUAUCUAUCAAGUAUUUUCAGCGAUAGUUUAUGUGCCUACCGUGGUUGUAACGGGUUGCGGAGAAUAAGGGUUCGAUUCCGAAGAGAGAGCCUGAGAAACGGCUACCACAUCCAAGUAAGGCAGACACUUGAGAUAACGUAUCACUCUCAGAAUGAGGAGGUAGUGAUGAAAAAUAACGAGACCUUUCUCUUUGAAGCCGUUUAUCGGAAUGCUUACAAUUUAAACCUGUUAACGAAGAUCUAUGAGAGGGCAAAUUUGGUACCAGUAGCCGCGGUAAUUCCAGCUCUCAGAGUGUAUAUCGUCACUGCUGCGGUUGAAAAGCUCGUAGUUGGGUCUGCGUCUCAGGACCUGAUCCAUCCAUUGGAUGAGAACUAGGCUCCUAGGGUAAUAUUACCAGUUUUCUAUACGUUAUCUUGAUUCAGUACGGUAGUUGGCAAAUUUACCUUGAAAAAAGAGUGCUCAAUGCGGGCUAAUGCCUAUUCAUGCAUGAAAUAGGAUCUCGGUUCUAUUUUGUUGGUUUUCUGAUCUGAGAUAAUGGUUAAGAGGAACAGACGGAAAUUCGUAUCGCUGCGUGAGAGCUGAAAUUCUUGGACCGUAGCGAGACGUACGACUGCGAAAGCAUUUGCCAAGAAUGUCUUCAUUCAAGGACGAAAGUCAGAGACUCGAAGGCGAUCAGAUACCGCUCUAGUUCUGACCGUAAACGAUACCAACUUUCCGUCGGCGGUAAAUACGCCUUGACGGGAAACGAAAGUUUUUCGGUUGUUGGGGAAGCAUGGUUGCAAAGCUGAUGGACCCUACUUAAUACGAGAAGAUUCACCUGGCCCGGUGAGGAUUGUCAGAAUGAGAGCUCUUUCAUGAUUCGUGGUUGGUGGGUGCAUGGUCGUUCUAGGUUGGUGGAGUGAUUUGUCUGGUUUAUUCCGAUAACGAGGAGACUCUAGCUACUAAAUAGUUACUGGAUAAUUUUAUCGUCCAGACAACUUCUUAGAGGGACAAGCGGUGUUUAGCCGCAUGAAGUUGAGCAAUAACAGAUAACAGGUCUGUAUGCCCUUAGAUGUCCAGGGCUGCACGCGCGCUACACUGGAGGAAUCAGCGUGCUGUAACCAUUACCGAAAGGUAUUGGUAACCCCUUGAAAACCAUCCAAUUAUUUUCCUUGAACAGGAAUUUUUAGUGUAAGUCAUCAACUUACGUUGAUUACAUGCUUGGUACUGAGCUGUUUCGAGAAAAGUGGAGACUGUUGUUUCGAUACCUUUGAAGGGUAGAGACUCUUUGGUGGAAGCAGGCAAAAUCGUAACAAGCUUUCGUAGGUGAACCUGCGUAAGGAUCAUUA